This 376-nucleotide ribosomal RNA is filed under the name uncultured bacterium. RNAcentral describes it as "bacterial SSU rRNA". It matches the Rfam family "Bacterial small subunit ribosomal RNA", at positions 524 to 898 of the family's 1533-position model. The record is from RNAcentral.
UACGUAGGGGGCAAGCGUUGUCCGGAAUGAUUGGGCGUAAAGGGCGCGUAGGCGGCCCGGUAAGUCUGGAGUGAAAGUCCUGCUUUUAAGGUGGGAAUUGCUUUGGAAACUGUCGGGCUUGAGUGCAGGAGAGGUAAGCGGAAUUCCCGGUGUAGCGGUGAAAUGCGUAGAGAUCGGGAGGAACACCAGUGGCGAAGGCGGCUUACUGGACUGUAACUGACGCUGAGGCGCGAAAGUGUGGGGAGCAAACAGGAUUAGAUACCCUGGUAGUCCACACUGUAAACGAUGAAUGCUAGGUGUAGGGGGUAUCGACCCCUUCUGUGCCGGAGUAAACACAAUAAGCAUUCCGCCUGGGGAGUACGGCCGCAAGGUUGAA